AGCUGAAGAGAUUGGGUUCCGUCCUAAGGUGGGAUUUCUUUCCGUGCUCGCGCGUUCAACCCCAAGUCUCAGGGCCACUCGUCUGGGAAGUUGUUGAAUCUGUAUAGCUAACCUACCCAACCUCCAAGGGGCCUGCUGCCAUCAGACUGGAACUAAACCAUCAGCUCUCAUGGGACUCCAUCUUGCUGACUUACCCUGCAGAUCUUGGGAUUUAACCGCCUCCAUAAUCAUGAAUCCUCCCUCCAGGUCACUGGGAACUUCAAUUCCUUAGAAGAAAGAAAGAGAUGACUCCUGCUUCAUAGUCCAGGAAAAUCCCCACACACCGUGGAGGCUCUUUAAGGCGGAAGGAGGUCUGCGGGGAUGUGAGAGCUUCAUACUCAUUCCCACGACUCUGUCGCAGAAGCCAGUGUCCAUUGGCAGAAGCAACUAUCACCAUACUAUGAAGUAGCACAAGCCUUUCACCAGAUACAGUCACCCAAUCUUGGACCAUCCAGCCCUGAGAACCAUGAGCUAAAUAAACCUCUUUCCUUGAUAAA
This 536-nucleotide non-coding RNA is filed under the name Pongo abelii (Sumatran orangutan). The record is from RNAcentral. Lineage: Eukaryota; Metazoa; Chordata; Mammalia; Primates; Hominidae.